UACGAGGGGUGCAAGCGUUGCUCGGAAUUAUUGGGCGUAAAGGGUAGGUAGGUGGUCUCAUUUGUCUGGGGUGAAAGCCUUGGGCUUAACCCUGGAAAGGCCGUGGAAACUGAAGUGCUAGAGUGCAGUAGGGGUAGAGGGAAUUCCCGGUGUAGCGGUGAAAUGCGUAGAGCUCGGGAAGAACAUCGGUGGCGAAAGCGCUCUACUGGACUGCAACUGACACUGAGGGACGAAAGCUAGGGGAGCGAAUGGG
RNAcentral lists this ribosomal RNA (253 nucleotides) under uncultured bacterium. RNAcentral describes it as "partial 16S ribosomal RNA". It matches the Rfam family "Bacterial small subunit ribosomal RNA", at positions 524 to 776 of the family's 1533-position model. The record is from RNAcentral.